This 253-nucleotide ribosomal RNA is filed under the name uncultured bacterium. RNAcentral describes it as "partial 16S ribosomal RNA". It matches the Rfam family "Bacterial small subunit ribosomal RNA", at positions 524 to 776 of the family's 1533-position model. The record is from RNAcentral.
UACGUAGGGUGCGAGCGUUAAUCGGAAUUACUGGGCGUAAAGUGUGCGCAGGUGGCUGAGCAAGCCGAGUGUGAAAUCCCCGGGCUUAACUUGGGAAUUGCGCUCGAAACUACUUGGCUCGAGUGUGGCAGAGGAAGGUGGAAUUCCAGGUGUAGCGGUGAAAUGCGUAGAGAUCGUGAGGAACACCAGAGGCGAAGGCGGCUACCUGGACAAUUGCUGACACUCAGGCACGAAAGCGUGGGGAGCAAAAGGG